UGGUAUAUCAACAUUGUAUAACCAGGCCCUAACUUUUGGUGGGCCAGUUACUAUUGUUUGUGGAUGGCCCAUAAUUGGAUUAAUGACACUUAUUGUGGGCCUUUCUAUGGCUGAAAUAUGUUCUGCUUAUCCAACUUCUGCUGGGCUUUAUUAUUGGAGUGCUAAAUUGGCUGGAAACAAGAUUGGCCCAUUUGCUGCUUGGA
This 203-nucleotide unclassified non-coding RNA is filed under the name Hevea brasiliensis (rubber tree). The record is from RNAcentral. Lineage: Eukaryota; Viridiplantae; Streptophyta; Magnoliopsida; Malpighiales; Euphorbiaceae.